AAUUUAAAUAGUUUAAUAAAAACAUUGGUCUUGUAAAUCAAAAAUAAGAAAUUUUUUUCUUUUUAAAUA
RNAcentral lists this transfer RNA (69 nucleotides) under Brillia brevicornis. RNAcentral's name for it is "tRNA-Thr". It matches the Rfam family "tRNA". From Rfam's summary of the family: Transfer RNA (tRNA) molecules are approximately 80 nucleotides in length. Their secondary structure includes four short double-helical elements and three loops (D, anti-codon, and T loops). Further hydrogen bonds mediate the characteristic L-shaped molecular structure. tRNAs have two regions of fundamental functional importance: the anti-codon, which is responsible for specific mRNA codon recognition, and the 3' end, to which the tRNAs corresponding amino acid is attached (by aminoacyl-tRNA synthetases). tRNAs cope with the degeneracy of the genetic code in two manners: having more than one tRNA (with a specific anti-codon) for a particular amino acid; and 'wobble' base-pairing, i.e. permitting non-standard base-pairing at the 3rd anti-codon position. The record is from RNAcentral. Lineage: Eukaryota; Metazoa; Arthropoda; Insecta; Diptera; Chironomidae.